UACGUAGGUGGCGAGCGUUGUCCGGAUUUAUUGGGCGUAAAGCAUGCGUAGGCGGAUACUUAAGUGGGAUGUGAAAUCCCGGGGCUCAACCCCGGUGCUGCAUUCCAAACUGGGUAUCUAGAGUACAGGAGAGGAAAGCGGAAUUCCUAGUGUAGCGGUGAAAUGCGUAGAGAUUAGGAAGAACACCAGUGGCGAAGGCGGCUUUCUGGACUGUAACUGACGCUGAGGCAUGAAAGCGUGGGUAGCAAACAGGAUUAGAAACCCUAGUAGUCC
Molecule: ribosomal RNA, 273 nt
Filed under: uncultured Clostridium sp.
Lineage: Bacteria; Bacillati; Bacillota; Clostridia; Eubacteriales; Clostridiaceae
Description: partial 16S ribosomal RNA
Rfam family: Bacterial small subunit ribosomal RNA
Source: RNAcentral